UGGACUGUUAGAGAGGUCAGGCCAUGCUGUUCAAAUAUCUUUGAAAGAUAUCUUUUUGAAAGAAAGGACCAUAAGGAGGAGGCUCAGUGUUCUCUCCUGAGAAUGAAGCUGCCUUUAGGUGUUCCUUCCACAACUGCCUAUUGCCAUUGAUGAGUGUUCUUUUCUUCCUUUGGGGAAGUAAGAGGAGAGGACACAAUCUGAGUGGU
Small nucleolar RNA from Ailuropoda melanoleuca (giant panda), 206 nucleotides. Its record names the gene U3. It matches the Rfam family "Small nucleolar RNA U3". Rfam says of the family: Small nucleolar RNAs (snoRNAs) are involved in the processing and modification of rRNA in the nucleolus. NCBI's taxonomy places the organism in Eukaryota, Metazoa, Chordata, Mammalia, Carnivora, Ursidae. The record is from Ensembl.